RNAcentral lists this ribosomal RNA (253 nucleotides) under uncultured bacterium. RNAcentral's name for it is "partial 16S ribosomal RNA". It matches the Rfam family "Bacterial small subunit ribosomal RNA", at positions 524 to 776 of the family's 1533-position model. The record is from RNAcentral.
UACGUAGGAGGCUGGCGUUGUCCGGAAUCAUUGGGCGUAAAGCGCGCGUAGGCGGCCAGAUAAGUCCGGUGUGAAAGUCAAAGGCUCAACCUUUGAAUGCCGCUGGAAACUGUCUGGCUAGAGUCCGGAAGGGGCGAGUGGAACUCCUGGUGUAGCGGUGAAAUGCGCAGAUAUCAGGAAGAACACCAAUGGCGAAGGCAGCUCGCUAGGACGGUACUGACGCUGAGGCGCGAAAGCGUGGGGAGCAAACAGG